UGCGCAGGCGGCUCCUUAAGUCAGAUGUGAAAUCCCCGGGCUUAACCUGGGAACUGCGUUUGAAACUGGGGAGCUUGAGUGUGGAAGAGGGGGGUGGAAUUCCAGGUGUAGCAGUGAAAUGCGUAGAGAUCUGGAGGAACACCGAUGGCGAAGGCAGCCCCCUGGGCUAACACUGACGCUCAUGCACGAAAGCGUGGGGAGCAAACG
This 207-nucleotide ribosomal RNA is filed under the name uncultured bacterium. RNAcentral describes it as "partial 16S ribosomal RNA". It matches the Rfam family "Bacterial small subunit ribosomal RNA", at positions 568 to 774 of the family's 1533-position model. The record is from RNAcentral.